GCCCGCCUAGCUCAAUCGGAUAGAGCGUCAGACUCUUAGAUGCUAGGCUAUUGUGAUCUGAAGGCUGCGAGUUCGACCCUCGCGGUGGGCU
Molecule: transfer RNA, 91 nt
Filed under: Lentinula edodes (shiitake mushroom)
Lineage: Eukaryota; Fungi; Basidiomycota; Agaricomycetes; Agaricales; Omphalotaceae
Rfam family: tRNA
About the family: Transfer RNA (tRNA) molecules are approximately 80 nucleotides in length.
Source: Rfam by way of RNAcentral